UUUUUUUUCCAAUUUUCACAGGAUUCCCGUUUGUUUAUUCGGUUCAGAAAUGAUUAUCUACCUCAAAAACCCAAAACCUCAGCUCAGCUCAGCUCAGCUCUGCUUGCUGGGGAAAAAUGUUGUCACCAACAUUUGAGUUCCGUCUCCAAUCCGCUACAUCAACCACGACAACUUUUCCAAACCCAAUCAUCCCACUGCAAUCCCAAUCUCUCCAAUCUCGUUUCUUCGCUUCAUCUCCACCUUCCCACCAUAAACAGUGCCGUCUGAAGCAACCUAAGAGAAAGCAGCGGCUGCUACCGGCGAAGUGCGCCAGUAAUGAGGAGGCAGAAAGGUACAUGGAGCAAGAACUGGGGAUACCAAC
Molecule: long non-coding RNA, 361 nt
Filed under: Linum usitatissimum (flax)
Lineage: Eukaryota; Viridiplantae; Streptophyta; Magnoliopsida; Malpighiales; Linaceae
Description: long non-coding RNA (LUSI_LNC001466)
Source: RNAcentral